Unclassified non-coding RNA from Stegodyphus dumicola, 673 nucleotides. NCBI's taxonomy places the organism in Eukaryota, Metazoa, Arthropoda, Arachnida, Araneae, Eresidae. The record is from RefSeq and is a predicted model, not a curated record.
UUCUUUCACAACGUAUCUUCCACAUUCGGUACAUAUCUUCAUUUCUGUUAGAUCAAACAAUAAAAAAUAUCGAAUAGUUUUGCCAGCUGUUAUUACCAUGGAAACAUAAGAAUUCCUUAUUUCUUCUAGAAAGGAGUUGUUGGAGAAAAUGAAGGGAUUAUGGGAGCAAUUAGGAAAAUGUUCAUAGAAGAUCAGGAAAUGUCUUUCAAGUUCCACCCUUGGCAAAUGACGUCAUUAUUAUCAAAAAUUCGAGAAUAUUCUUUCGGCUUAUAGAAUAUUCACAAUGAACUUCCUGAAAGAGCAAUCCAUCACUUAUGGGAUACUGGCGUUGCAAACGAAAUUCUGAAUGUUUCGAAUCAGAAUACUGAAUCAGAUAAAGUGCAAAAAGUAAAACAUUACCUGUGCAGUUACCUGGACAUACAUAUUUAUCAGGUAAGUUACCCUGAAUGUAUAUUUGCCAAUAACUCAUAUGCAGUAGAAUCUCUUUUAACUGGCAGUAAGAGGAACUGGUAGAUUCCGAGCAACCGAUUUUUUUUCCAGCAUAGUUGAAUAUAUAUUUCUAGAACUUACUUGUUCAUGUUUUGCAAUCCCAUCUGUAGAAAUUGCAACAUGCGAAAUGCUGUUCAUAUUUUUUCAUCUGUUAGCUACAAUUAAAUAAAUAAUUUCAAAAAUA